UGAACAGAUUACUGUAUUCGACUGUAUUCAUGGCGUGAAACAGGGGAUUACACUGUUUUAACGGAAAGUGUAUCAAUUAACAUAAUAGACUUCU
Molecule: microRNA precursor, 94 nt
Organism: Nicotiana attenuata
Lineage: Eukaryota; Viridiplantae; Streptophyta; Magnoliopsida; Solanales; Solanaceae
Rfam family: MIR6152 microRNA precursor family
Source: Rfam